UUUUAACUUGAAGACUCAGCUGCAGGAUAUUUAAACAAAAACAUUUCUCUUCGCCUUCAGGCUUUAUUGAUCUGGGAGAGAUUCCCUAUACUUACAUUUACAAGCACCGAUGGAACACAAGCAAAAACUGUCAAAAUUGAAGAAACAUAUCAAAGUUUUCCAUGUGUUUUCCAUUAAGAAGAUGAAUUGCAGAGUCGGACUGCACUUCAAGGAAUUUGGCCUGAUUUUUGUGGAUUUCUGUAGCAUUACCAAGAAAUUCCCAUUUACUCUGGGAGCGGCAAGGCUGUAUUUGAAAUCUUCUGAUCGAAAAAAAAAAGUUAACCCAGCUGUAUUCACAGUAUGUCACUGAUGCAGAUGAGAUUCCACUCUGUAUUUUGUUUGAAGCCAUCUGACAGGAUGAAGGAAUCCAGAGACAGAACUCAUCAAAAUGGAGGCAAGAGAGCAAUACCUUUGGAGCUGGAUUCUUUGAGGCAGAUUGAAUAAAUGCUCCGAAGUGAGCUAGAAACCGAAGGGAAUGUAUCCCUUUCUAAACUUUUUCAAAUUGCAUCACAGUGAUGGUAAGAGAAGAAUUUGUCUAUCUAUUGCCAGUUUUCAGUUUAAAGCACUAAACUAUGCAGAAAUCAAGACACAAAACUCGGAGAUAAGGCUGUAAUGAUGUCUUUUGUCCACUUUUGUCUGUUGUGCAAAGUAUGCUUUGUGAAAUCACUUGUUGUUUGGAGACUUCUGGAUCCUCACUUGUUAUGUUGAGCUACAAAAUAAAUUUUUAACAUGACCUCUGAAUUUUUCAAGCCUUAG
This 795-nucleotide long non-coding RNA is filed under the name Gallus gallus (chicken). Its description in RNAcentral is "lncRNA (ENSGALG00010007248.1)". The record is from RNAcentral. Lineage: Eukaryota; Metazoa; Chordata; Aves; Galliformes; Phasianidae.